Long non-coding RNA from Mus musculus (house mouse), 10725 nucleotides. RefSeq annotates it as predicted gene, 53774. Lineage: Eukaryota; Metazoa; Chordata; Mammalia; Rodentia; Muridae. The record is from RefSeq and is a predicted model, not a curated record. The transcript has 2 exons.
UUGCUGGGUAAAAGUUAAGCCUUGUAUAGAAAGACAUGGUGUGUGCUUGAUCAGACAAUACACAGCCUGCAUUUACAGAAGAGUUCCACAGUCUCUCUUUAUAAAAGACAGGCAAAGCCCCAAACCAGUUAACCUAACAGGCUAAGUUUUUAAAUAUUAGUAACUAUAAUGAGAGAGAGAGACUUGGAGAUGUAUAGGGACUUCUAUUUUAGCUUCUAAAAUAUUUGAAACUAAAAUCAACUUUAUACAGGAUGGCUUAAAAACUAUGGUAACUUGGAAAUGCAUUUGAAAGCUAUUAUUUUGGUAUACUCUCCCUAUAUAUAACAAAAUUAUGCUAACUGUGAUUGAUUUAAAAACUCUUUUAAAAUAUUUAUUUUUCUUUUAUGUAUAUGUGUAUGCAUCAUGUGUGCCUGGUGCUUGUAGAAGACAGAAGUUGUUGGAUCUUCUGGAAGUAGAAUUAUGGAAGUUGUGAACUGCCUUGUGUGUGCUGGGAACCAAACACAGGUCUUCUGCAAGAGUAGUCAGUGUUCUUAACCAUGGAGCAAUCACUUCAGCCCCUUAUAAAAACAUUUAACUUCUCUGUUCAAAUAAGAAGUUAAGCUGUCUUUUUUUUUUUUUUUUUUUUUUUUGCAUAUGGCACAAAACAUUGACAGCAAGGACAAUGGAGUAGCCUGUGACUUACAGGUAGAGAGCUACCAAUACUGAGAAAGCACUAGACAACUAUAUCAGGAGCUUCAAAUGUUUGACAUUUAAAACACUUGAUGUGACAGACAGGUUGAGAUAUUCUUACACUCAGCCGGACUGAAUGAGGCAGAAAUUAUUCUCUGAUCAAGAUUUAUUCCAUUAGUAGCUGAGAUUAAAAAGAACACCAUUAACUUUGACAUAAGCAGCCAUUCCAUGCCAAACAGCCUAUGAUAACGAACUGAGUCACUAUGAGGGUCUGGUUGGAUGGGGGUAACCCACUUGGCAUUCAGUUCAAUUAAUCAGCUCACAUAUCACAAUAUUUUGUGAAAAGCUUUGACCCAGAAAUGCUUAUUUCCCCCUAAGCUACAACAAACCAUAUUUAAUAUUCAACAGCUUUUACCUAAUUAUCUGUCAUUGAAAUAUUAAUUAAAAUAAAAACAACAAGGCCAUAUAAAAACAUCCCCAGUUAAAACUCUGAUGAACAGAAUAGUUAAAAUUCCCCCAAAUAGAUCAGAUUCCCAUAUGCCUGACUCUAAUUUUUUUUUUUAAGCUACUGGAUUGCUCUGAAAAAUUUCCCUCCAUAUAACAAGCUUUUUUUUUAAUUCUGCUGCAAAGAUUCUGAAUGUUAUUGUGAUAUGAAUAAAAACUAUAAUCAAAAUGAUACACUUCAAAUAAAAGUGCAUUUUAUUUUAUAUCAGCCAUGCUUCAGAAAUGUCUGUCCCACUGGUAUUUAGAGCCAGAAUGGCUGUAUGAAUGAUUCCCCAAAGACUAUUAGCCAACAAUAGCUACUUAGAAAGACUAGCAAAUCCACAAGCAUCCAUAUUAAAGCACAGUAAUUAUCUAUUACAUUACAUAGUGCUUAAUUAAUAGUAAUUUAAGGCUGUAGGCAGAAAAGUACUUUUUAUUCAUAAACACAUCUUUCAUUUAAACAAAUUCACAGUUGCUUUAUACCUUCACACUCUGAUAAAGACAUGCAUUCAUUUUGAUCUCUAGCUCUGUGAAUUCCUAAGUAUUAAUACACAAAGAAACUAAUUCACAGUUGCUUUAUACCUUCACACUCUGAUAAAGACAUGUAUUCAUUUUGAUCUUUAACUCAGGGAAUUCCUAGGUAUUAAUAUACAAAGAAAACGGCUUUUUAGAAUUUGAAUCAUUAAAUCUAAUCCCAAGUUCUUGGCUCAUCAUUAAACUUUUGGGAAGAUCAUUUGCCCUAGACCAGCAUAAAAUGUUUUUAUUAGGGCCUCACACAGACUAAGUAUGUACCUUAUACUCCCAGUUCUCCCAAAAGAAUAUUUUUUAAGGUAUCUCUUGAUCGGACAUGGAUCUAGGUGAAAAACUUCUGCUAUUACUCUGCUAAAGGAACAGAGCAACUAAAUGACUCCUAAUGACAAAAUGCUAACACUAAUGACAUAAUGCUAUACCCAUAGACCAGUGCCUUGUUCAAGCCUCAUCAGAGGUGUUCCUUCCUUCAGUAGGCAGAAAUUAACAUGGAGACUCACAACUGGACAAUAUGCACAGACUGAGAGACUCUGGAACACUCAGUACUAAACGGGAUGUUUUUAUAGAAUCCCUCAGUGCUUAGUGAGCAACAUGGAAGAGGGUGUAGACAGAUUGUAUGAGCCAGGGGUGACAGAUGACUCCAAGGAAACUGUCUUUCAGACACAACAGAACUGAUGCACACACAAAUGCACAGAACACGCACAGGAUCUGCACAGGUUAAAGCCAAAUGGAGUGCCAGCACUGAGAAGGGGAGUGGACCUGGAGCCCCAUCCCUAAACAAGAAGCUAAUUGUAAUCAAUACCCACCAAGUGGCAAAGGGAAAAAUAGUCUCCCCCCCCCCCCCCGCAGUGGAAUCUCACCAAAUAACCAACCAGAGCAGACCCUAUGCCCAAGAGAAGUUGACCAACACAAAACAAACUCAAUACUGUUUUUUAUGGACAUUUUGGCUUCAUUUUUUCUUGGUUUUGGCAAUUUCUGUCUCUUACUGAUGUUUUGCUUGCUUGAUUUACUUUUGUGUGGGUUGUUUUGUUUCCUGGUUUCUUUCUUUUCUUUCUUUCUUUCUUUCUUUCUUUCUUUCUUUCUUUCUUUCUUUCUUUCUUUUUUUUGAGAGAGAAAAAGAACAUGAAGUUAGGGAGGUAGGGAGGAUCUAGGAGGAACUAGGAAAAAUGAUGAACAUACAUUGUAUAAAGAUGUUCAAUUAAAUAAAAAGGCAUAUUAGGUCAAUCAUCUAGUUUGAUUUAAUUUUACACAAAUAUAUUUUGCCUUAGGUGUUAAUGAGAAUAGUUUCUCAUUUUCAUGUUAACUGCAGCCAGCUUACUUCUGCAACAGAAAUAUCUUUUGUGUCUCUCCUCAUUGUAUCAGUUGAACAGUAAGAGGUAUGGUAAGAACCUUUUAAUAGGGUUCUUAUGCAAAUAUAAUUGAAUUAAUGAAGUGGAUCUAAAUAUUACCCAAAGGGGUAAGCUUUCUUUUUGUGUGUAGAAAGAAAGAAAGAAAGAAAGAAAGAAAGAAAGAAAGAAAUCAAAACCCAAGCCACCCAAAAUACUAACAUCCGGAGUAUGGGUUUACUUAGGAACAACUAUAUCCAUCCACCCCAGUGGUUGUCCGUGCUUAGGAAGGCAGAAUGCAAGGAGGUAAUGAAAGUAUUCAUCUGCACAGGGAGACCUCUGACAGCAACCUGCCAACAGCAACGUCCACAGGAGCUUGGUGAUGGGAAUUCCCAGCGUUCUGCACCUACUCACAUUCCCUCAAAUGUGCUUAGCACUUCUGUUUCACCUGCUUUUCUACUUCAGGAACAGUUGAAUUUAAAGCACCAUAAAAUAACCUUACUUUAGCUUUGACUUCCGGAGCCAAGAAAAGCUUUGAAUUUGAAAGACCCUGUUUUGGGCAGGUUACCAUUAAUUUGUUGUUGUUGUUGGCACUGACAAAAUGUAUGUUGUAAUUUGAUUAAAUAUAAGUUUUAAAAAACACACACACAUUCAGAAUUUGAAUCAUAGGUCAAUGCCAUUAUAGCUAGGGCUCUUUUCAAGUGUUUAUUACAUUUCUAAACAGCAUCCUGAUGAUUUUAAAAACAGCUAUUUAAUAGCUUUAAAAUGUAUUCAAUUUCUGCCUACUUUUACAAUUUAACCCAAAUUUUGACUUUAUGUACAUGUCAACACACACACACACAGAGAGAGAGAGAGAGAGAGAGAGAGAGAGAGAGAGAGAGAGAGAGAAAGAGAAAGAGAAAGAGAAAGAGAAAGAGAGAGAGAGAGACUCAUUUAUUUAGUGAUAUUUAUAUAGCAAACCUGAAAAUCCACCCUUUAAAAGACAGAGACUUACUAUAGACAGAGACUUGGGUAUGGUUUUCAAAUUACCAAGUAUAUUUUUAUUUUAAGUUCUAAAACUGUUAAGGAAUCCCACCAUCUUUCUUCCUCGGGGAUGAAUAUAAUUGCUCUUUUGUUCUUAGGUACUGUCAAACUCACACACUGCUUUAGGAGGCUUUCUGGGAGCAUGGAAGAGCAAAGCACACAGAGCCCUCCCCCCAGCUCCCGUCCCUCUGCAGACUGGCACACAGUAGAAGGAUAUACAUGGGGCACCUGGAGAUAGUGGGGUAGGAGUCCUCUGUGUAGCUGCUGUCCCAGCCAAAUUAGUUGUUUCCAAUGUCUGAGCACAACUAGAAUCUGUUUCUUGUGUGUGUGUAUGUGUGCCUUCCAAUCUGUCUGGGAGAAUCAGAACAUGUCAGGAAUUUAUUAUCAGGCCUGUGGUGUUGGUGCAUCCUAUAAUCCCAGGACUUGGAAACAGGAGGAGGGAUGUGAUUUCUGAGGCCAGCCUGGGCUACAUAUCGUACUCUGUAGACUUGUACUUUUGUAAGCCUUCAACUACAACACGGUAGUGAAUAGUAACAGAAAGAUGGUAUAUUCUAAUUGAAAGCAAACCUAGAAAAGUAGGUCGGAGCUGAUUCCCGUUGGGUCUCUAAGAGUUGGCUGAGGGGGCGCACGGCUCCUUUCACAGGCAAAGGGAAAUAAGCAGAGGCUUUCGAGGCAAAGAGUAACAAGGAAGUUUCUGAGCCAGCCACUUCAGGACUGUCAUAGUGGAGAGGACGGAAUAAGGAGAGGGAGCUGGGGUUCCCUCUACAAACUGCAGACUCUGGGUUUCUUACGGUGAUCUAACUAAAAUAACUAGGCAAAAGUAUGAAAGAUCAGAACACGAGUUAUGGGCUGGUGAGAUGGCUCAGUGGGUAAGAGCACCAGAAUGCUCUUCCAAAGGUCUGGAGUUCAAAUCCCAGCAACCACAUGGUGGCUCACAACCAUCCGUAAUGAGAUCUGAUGCCCUCUUCUGGUGUGUCUGAAGACAGCUACAGUGUACUUACAUAUAAUAAAUAAAUAAAUCUUUAAAAAAAAAAAAAAAAGAACACGAGUUAUGCUAACAGGAGCCGUAUGCAGGGAGGAAGCCUGAGGCUAUGAUGAAUUCUCACACAUCUCCUGGAAAAAGACAACUUCCGGUCUAGCGCAGGCUGAGCAGGAUGGGUUUUUCCUGUGUGGACAAUGAUUAAAAAAAAAGAAGAAGAAGAAGAAGCAAGUGGGGAAGAGAGAAACAGGGGUGGGAAGCAGUUGUACAGCUUCUGGGUGUUAAAUACUGGGAAGAGGUAUAACAGCAGAACAGUCAAGGGCCAUUGGACUCCGGGUUGUACGGACGGGGCUGGGCUGCAGUCCUCAGUGGGGCGCUCCUUGUUACGCAGAGGGACGUACAGACUAGAGGGAAGAAAGGCUAUUCUCAUAAUCUGCUGCUGCAGUUUGAACCACUCUGCUUGUCCCCAAAGACUUGUGAUCCAGUUGUAGGUCUCAUUGAUUAGAGACAGCAGUUGCUCUCACAAUUGAGCCAGGAGGGGAAAAAGUAUCUUCAUGAUCAAUGCUACAACAUUUCACUUAACAGCAUAGAUCAGAUUGGAAACCGUCAGGGGUACAAAACGUUUAAUACUAAUUUGUCAGCGGCUACCAAUAAAAAUUAGCAUCCUGGUUCCAAGAGCCACUGGGUUUAAUACUGUGACCUCUCUGAGCUACUGCUGGCUCCCAUGAUUAGCAUCACACAAAGACACAAGCUGUGUUCCUAAGUGCUUGUCAAGUAAACAUGCUACAGCUUCAGGAACCAGAGGAAAAUUUAAUUUAAACAUAAUAUCUUAAAUUAGAAGCCUGACACAUGGCUACUUCAAGCAAUUAAUAAUCAUUCUAACAAUCGAAUCAAUUCAGGUCCUGGUGUAAUAUUUUUAAUUCUAAAGCACCAAGAAUGUCCAGCCUCUGUACACCAACUCCCCACCACUACCACCACUCUGCUGUUAGGCCAAGAAAACCCAAGUUUACUUGGAUCCACACCUGUUCCUGGCUAUGUGACAGAAUUCCAGUCCAUACACAGAAAGACAGAACUAACAAUCUUGUGGAAGGACUGAGGCAAGUUACAAAUUCAUAAAUGUUAUCAAGACAUACAAAUUGACUGACUACACAUUCAAAACUCAAACUAUUAAGCCACAAACGUUUUUUCAAAAGCCAAAUUGUGUGGGUUGAUAUGAUUGUGUCUGUGAUCAGAAGAACCAGGCAGGAGGGUCAAGAGUUCAAAGUUCCCUUGGGCUACCCAAUGAAAACUUGUCUAGGAAGAAACAAAACAAGAUGAUCAAACAAACAAACAAAAACAACCUAAUCAACCAAAAGUCACAAAGCAAAUAUAUAAUCCAUGCAUCCAGCCUUUCCUUCCUUCCAGACAGACAGACCUCUCCUCAAGCUUUACUUGAAACACUGAAAAGCAUGAAUUACAAUUGAGUUUUGCUCACUCUCGCCUAAGUCAAAAGAACUGAACGACCAUGAAAUGAAAGCUCUAUCCAUGUGUACUGGGACAGCCACCUGGAAGAAAUCCUGGCUCUGACGGCAGAGUGGCCCAAGCAGCAGCCAACACAUUUUUCCACGUGUGUUUACAUAAGAAAAAGAAAAAAAAUACACCAUGUUGAAUUUACACCAUUAGAGUUUUGCUACAGUAUGCAGCCAUGUCUAAUUCUCAGAGGCCCAAGGACAUGAUUAUGUGAUCUGGUUCUUAGAUUUCUCAGCGGAGCUGGAAGUGAACACAACCUUCACCAUGAGUUUUCUGAAUCUAUCCAGACUGACCUCGGUGCCACUGAUCUUGAGAAGCCAUUUUAUCCACGUGUUCUCUCGUUUAGUGAGAACAGAGGCUCUCAAACAGCAUGCACACUGUCAGAAGUGUGAGAUGUACAUGCCAGAUCAGGAAUCAUCAGUUUCAUGGAAGCUGGAAAGCAAAGCCCCCAAGUUCAGCUCAAACUCCACCAAAGGCCUGAGCGUUCAUGGUUUAUGUGGCCCACUAUGAGCAGAAGAUCCACAGUUAGGAUGGAAUGACCAUCCGGGUUGGGACUGUUCUCUAUGCUGGAGAUGGGACUUGUACAUUGUACUGCUGAGCCACUUAUCCAUGCUUUAUAUUUUCCCUUAGUAAAAACACAGGAUAAGUCCCUUUAGUAGCUUGCUAUACCACAGCACAGUAUGUGGUAUCAAGAAAGUCCAGAAAAAAAUGCAGAAGGAAAGUACUGUGGCCAAAUGUGCUGUGGGACAGUGGACAGUGCCAGGAAACUUUGAAAAGUUGAGUGGGUUUGGAAGCCCUGGCAGCCCAUACAUACCACAGGACAGUAGGUGCUUCACUAGUUCCUGACCAGGACCCUGUCACAUGAGCACAGUACCCCAUGAAGAGGGCAGCACUUCAAAGCUCCUCCACAUGGAGAUGAGGCAUCCCUAACAUCUCAGACCUAGCCAACUGAACACAUCUGCUGUCAGACUCUACCCACCCCAAAAAAUAUACAGGGCCCUAUAUACCAAAAGAAAUAAAGGUGCGGGAAUUGUUUCACCAAAGAUCGUCUGGGAGCAUCUGUCAUAUGAGAGCUAUAACACAGGUAGGAAGAGAGUGGAAGCUGCCUGGGCCUACCAUGUCACUUCCUGCCACUGGGUGGGGUGGCCCCUGACCUUGCUUCCUUGCCAAGAAGUGCCAACUCCAGGGUAGUGGUGGUGGCUGUGCUUCCCCUCCCUGCUUUCACAGGCCCGCCUUGAUCUGACUCCCCUUUCCCCUUCAGAGAAUGCAACUCCUUGAGCAGAGCCCAGAAGAGCUCUGCAGAUCUCUGAUUGCAUCCUAUAUACAGACCAGUAUUUAGGGAACCAUUCUCCUAAUUACAAAAACCAUGCUGCCAGGGAUAUAGGGUGGAGGAGAGCAGGGGAGGCUCACACAGGGUCACUGCUCUAGGCUAUGUUCCUUUCAUACUGGGUGCUUAGGCACAAAUAUACACCUAGAUACACUACUUUAACUUGUACGUUCAUGUUCACACCGAGUGGUGCUCCUUUAAAAGUCAGGGUUUGCCAAUUGCCCUUACAGGCUGAGUACAGGCAAGAUCAUCAGGCCUGGCAUGAAAAAAGGGAUUCACUGAAAACUGUGUCCUGCCGCUAUUUAGAUGAUGACAAGAUAUUCUAGAGAUGUUUUUGGUUUUGUUUUUCACUCUGUUCAUCCUUGAGAAUCACGACUAAUUUUGUAUUUAUUUCUAAGACUUGGGAGAAUGAUUGCCAGCUCAGCAGGAACCUAAAUGCUGCAAACAGAAUCAAAGCAUGGUUUCAGUUGUCAGGCAAGAAAGCCUGAGGGUAGAAGCAGAGGAUAAUGGGAAGUGGAAGGGAAGGGUAAAGCCAGAAAGAGAAGAAAAAUGAGGAAAAGAUGAAUAAUGGAAGAGAAAGGGCAGAAACUCUCUAUACAAAGACUAUUCCUUUCAGAUAUGUCAGCUACAGCAACUCCCUGACCUUGUGUUCUUUAAAUGAAGCAAUAAUUUGAUUUAAACAUGCAGUGAGAGAUUAACAUGCAGUAAUUAUAAUCAAAGAACUGUCAGCUAAGCUAACAGUCCUUCACACUUCCAAGUCUAAGUCCUCCCCUUCGCCACACACACUGAGAGAGACAGCCAGGAUAGAGAAACAGAGUCAGAUGGACAGACAGAGAGACAGCAGAGAGCAAGAGACAGAGAGAAGAAAGAGAGAGCAAAGAGACAGAAAGAGACAAAGACAAAAAGACUGAGAGACAGUACAGAGAGACAGAGACAGAAAAACAGAGAGAUAGAUACAGAGACAGAGAGACAGCAGAGAGAUAGAGACACACAGAGACACAUAGAGAUUUUUUUUUUGUUUCCAUUUUUCUGGUAAGAUGCCAAAUUUUACUUGAAGAUGUCACAAGCAUUUUGAGAUUCAGACAAGUGUAUCUGAGAAUCUCACUCUAAAUCCAUCACUCUAUGAAAAGAGCACACAUCUCUGGUUCAGGUAGAGACAAAGAAAGAGACCGACAACAGUUUUUGUUUUUCCAACCUUUGACAUUAUCUUGAACAUAUUUUCAGGUAAUUUUUGUUUUUAAGGUACUAGGGCAAACAUGCUACCACUAAACUAUGUCUUAAUGUUUGAGAAACUUCAGUUGCUGCUAUUACAGGGAAUGUAAGAGCAGCACCAAGCUCACUGUGGACAACAUCUAGGUUCCUAAGUUUCAGUAUUUCCACAAAGACCUGACAAAUACCUCACAAAAAGGAAGAAAACAGCCUGACUCAGGAAAAUGCCAUGUGUUUCUAGUAAAAGACAGCAUUAAGCAUGCCAAAAUAAUAUCCAUGACUUACUAGGAAAAUAAAGUUUAAAAACUGUAAGAUGUGAAAACAGAAUUUUUGUUUAGAGCAGUGUUUCUCAACCUCCUUAAUGCUGAAACCCUUUAAUUCAGUUCUUCAUGCUGUGGUGACCCCAAACCAUAAAAUUAUUUUCACUGGCACUUCAUAACUGUAAUUUUGCUACUGUUAUGAAUCAUAUUGUGAAUAUCUGUGUUUUCUUAGGCGACCCCUGUGAAAGGGUCAUUUGACCCCCUCCACAGGUUGAAAAACACAGCUUUAGAAAGAACAAAACUAUAGUUAGCAUAAAACUAAGAAACUGUGGAGAUUAUUUCCCAACAAACAAACAAACAACAAAACAAAACAAAAACGUGGAUAGAAAAGAAAUAAAAGUUGCCUGCAUGGUCAUUUUAGUUUAAAUUAUUAAAUGGUUUAGUUUCUAAUAAGCUUAUAUACACAAUACAAAUAAUAGGCACAGAAGAAACAAGGAUGGAAACAGAAAAUUAUAAAGUUAAAAACUUAAAUGUUCACUGCUAUUAUUGGCUAUUCAUUGCUAUUAUUGUGUAAGUUACCUUUCACUGAAAACUUUGCUGACUGAAAAACUUUAACAGUUUCUUUUAACUUUGAUGAUGCCAUUCAUAUUAUUAAAAUUAUAAUUCAGACAUAAACUAUAGCUCAAUUGUGGACUAAACAUGAGGAGUUUCAGGAAACAAGCAUCUUGUGGCUAGGGAUAUAGCUCAUCUGGUAGAGAGCAAUCCGAGCACACACAAAGAUCUAGAUACAAAAACCCAACGCUGUGGCGUGUGCUUCUUCUCUCAGCACUCAAGGGAUACAGAAAGGAGGAUCAGAAGUUCAAAGUUAUCCUUGGCUAUAUGAGGUCUUGUCUCAAAAACAAGGCAAAACCACCCCAAUGGUCAAGUCCCAUCUAGAGAGGCAUUUAUAUUGGGUGUGCUGUUCACAAUACCCCUGUCCAUUACGCUUCUUUUCAUGUGUUAUUAUGCCAUGAAAUGACCACAUUUCCAUGGCCAGACAACACGUGCUAAGGGUCUUGUGUCCAGCUCAGUCUCACUGUGCUUCAUCUUGCUACAUUAACAACAGGAAAUUAACUAACCCACAAUCUAUGUGCAAUGUAAAGGCCCCAGUUCCCAUGCUAAUAUACAGAACUGCAUGCUCAAAGGUGGUAUGACUCCAUUAAUCCAGAUGGUGAAAGUACCAGAUAAAACCCACAGCCAAAGUCUGGUGUUCCCCACUUUUCAUCUGAGCACCUGAGUUCAGGUCUAAGUCUGUCUGUCUGUCCAUAUCUUCUUCUUUUGCUCCUUUCCCAUCUCCUUCUCUCUUUCUUAAACAUUUUCAAACAGUUAGCUGCCCAGGUGGCCGUCCUCCACACCCAGAAGACAGGAAGCAAG